UGCAAUAGGACACCGUGACGGAAACCAGAGUGCACGGAAACGCCGUUUACCUUCCUGUCGUGGUGGUAUCUAUUUAUCUACUUGCACUGGUGUGCUUUCGAACUGCUAGGUUGGCAGACGCUGGGACAGAGCAACGGGAGCUCACUCUGUCACGAGGAUUCGAACUGCCGACCUUCUGAUCGGCAAGCCCAAGAGGCUCAGUGGUUUAGACCACAGCUCAACACCCAUCCCACGUGGCCAGAGGCAGCAGCAGGAAUGUCUGAUCAUGGAGGGGGCAGGAAAAAAAACCCACGCACAAACACAUAUAUGCAAAAAAAGCAGCUUUAGGAAAAAUGCUAUCUUGGGCUUGAAGGAACCCCCACAAGCCGGGAGCCCUGUCUAAGCAAACAGCUCUAUCUCUUCCGUGGGAGGACAAACCAGGCUGAGGGAGAAGGAGUUGAGGCGCAUAGAUGUCAAGGGAGACACAUACUUUGCUCCAGGCCUGAGUCACACUUUCGUGCGACAGCAACCACAAAGAACGCGAGGAGGCGAUAAGGCGAGUUUGCAACUGAAUUGGGGGGGGGGGGGACACCAGCGGUUAAAAAUAAAAUGGUGUGACAAUCCUGCGCCUGCUCGUUCCAUAAGAGGUAACAGGAAAGGGAGCAGACCUCAAGUUGGGCAGAGAGAGACAGAAGUUUCCUCCUCGUUUAUGGCGGUCUUGUUGACACGCAGAGGGUUGUUGCCUCCAGCUAAGGUCUCGUCCGUGCUGUCGUUUAAUGAAGAUAGAGAACUUCCUGUGACUUGCCUUUGCUCUAUUGUCUGGAUUUUCUCAUACCAAGGCUACUCUGAAAAGGGAGAGGCCUAGGUAGGAAGAAACCCAAACUGAAGGAGGGGAGAGUGCGGACAGCAGAAUGAACGGAGGUACUGAAAGCUUGCUCUCCACAAGGCUAGACACACACACACACACACACACACACACACACAUGCGUCUACGCAGGCUCAGGCUUUAGGCUUCAGACUCGCCAAAGCCCGAGUUCAGGGUCUAGCUCAGUCGGCAGAGCAUGAGACUCUUAAUCUUAGGGUUGUGGGUUCGAGUCCCAUGUUGGGCAAAAGAUUUCUGCAUUGCAGGGGGUUGCACUAGAUGACCCUCAGGGUCCCUUGCAAGCAUGGGAGCCAACUCCCAGGGGCCGUAGGUGUUAUGUACUGAAGUUCUCACCCUGGGCCAGCAGGGGGAUACUGUAGCUAGUUAUGCAAAUAAGGGAUCGAAAGUGACGUUCAGUGAUUGGAUAGUUUUAGAAAGUUGAUACAGUUACGUUGUACUGGAGCUCUAUAUAAGCAGGCUGACUGAACCCUUCAGUUCAGUUCUGUCCUGGCCUGUGAAUAAACAAGUGCUGUUUGAAGAAUUGCUGUGUCGUCUGAUAUGUUCACCCACAACUUAACAGUAGGGGCUUCAGCCCCCACAAUAGAAGAUUUGAGGGGGCUGGGCCCCCACAAAGUUGAUGGGCAUUCCCAUUCAAAUGGUGUGUGUGUGUGCACUGCCUCAUGCGAUCGAUUAUGUGGGGCGAGGGCAACGAUAUUUUGUUAUUCAAUUUGGCACCCCUGAUUCCAAGUCUACAAUUCUAUGAUUCUGUAACCGGGCACGGGGCAAGCUGGGUUUUCGUCAGGGUCCUCAGGAGGUCUCUGAGGCCAAACCCAAGACCCGGAGAUGAGGCAAGCAAGAAACCACAUUACACGUUCUGUUCUGCUACUACUGACGUCACUCACAGUCACAUUUCUCAGCCCUCUCUGGGCCUUUUACAAUGGAUCCAUUGGGUCAUUAAUGGCCCAUGGCAAACAGGAAACACAGACUAAAGAGAGCAAGAGAGGCCCGGUCUGAAAUUUAAUUUAAAUUGUGUAAUGGCUUUUCAUGGGAGGCAGGGAGAGAGAAGUUGGCCACUGUGGAUUAAUCAUCACAAGUAAGAAACAAACGCUCAGCAAGAAGGAAGCCAAUGGGAAUGGACUUUUUUCUGACAAAUACUGGAAAGCCAAGGGCGCUGGACACGCACGAUGCACAGUACUGUAUUUCUGGUACAGCACAGGGAUGAACAGAAGGCAACAGAAGAUACACACACACACACACACACUGCUAUGCUUCACAGAGGAAAUUAACUCCAGUGGCUGAGAGCCUGCGCAGGAAAUGAUGGCGGCAGAUCUCGCUUCUGGAAAUCGCUGGUGGGCUUAGAUCAGAAAAAAGACUUCACUUGUGUGUCGGGGACUGUAGGAGAAACAGGCAAUGCAAGGCGAGCUUUGCUGUGUUAGGAUAAGGAGGAGGCAAACCUUUGUUGAAAUAACUCGAGAACUGGGACCCUUUUCACCCUGGGUGCCAUAUUCCCUUUCAGGGGCGGGGCCAUGUCAGGGGUGGGUGGGGCCACGGACAAAAGCAGGCGGGGCAAAAACGGGUGCACUGGGGUAACGUUUUGUAAUAUGUGUGUGAGGCCAAAAAAUUGGCACCCCGAAAUGGAUCUUCUCAAUUUUGUGCCCCCUGCUCAGUGCCGGGGGGGGGACGUCACUUCCUGCACCGCCCUAAACGGUUGACUUUUGACCUUUGUGCAGGAAGACCAGCUGGUGAAGAAGACAGGGUGUCUCCCCCUCCUGCCACAGCGAGCUCUCCUUCUGCUGGUCUCCCAGGACCAGAAGAGGGCUGAAAUGAGAGGAUCAAAAUCAGGCACACCGGCAUAGUCUCAGAUUGCUUGGGAAGGACCUGGGGAGGAGACUUAGGCAGCUGACGGAAGGCCUUCAGUCUCCACAAGUGCCACAGGACCUGCCGAGAAGAGUUGCUGUGCUCAGUAGGGCUAGCACUUCUGCGCAGACCUUGUUUCUCCUAAUAGAGAGUUCACUUAUCCCGUGUGAUUUAUUACUGAUCCAUUCCUGACACAAAAACACUCUGCUGCUGGUGGGGCGUAUUUCGCUCCUGAAGCCCGAGGUUCCCUGUUUUUGCUUUAGAAUUGCCAAUACAUGGGUGGCGCUGUGGUCUAAACCACAGAGCCUAGGACUUGCCGAUCAGAAGGUUGGCGGUUCGAAUCCCCGUGACAGGGUGAGCUCCCGUUGUUCGGUCCCAGCUCCUACCCACCUAGCAGUUGGAAAGCAUGUCAAAGUGCAAGUAGAUAAAUAGGUACCGCUCUGGCAGGAAAGUAAACGGCGUUUCUGUGCGCUGCUCUGGUUCGCCAGAAGCGGCUUAGUCAUGCUGGCCACAUGACCCGGAAGCUGUACACCGGCUCCCUCGGCCAGUAAAGCGAGAUGAGCGCCGCAACCCCAGAGUCGUCCGCGACUGGACCUAACGGUCAGGGGUCCCUUUACCUUUUUCCUGGCAGCCGCACCGGAAGUUGGCAGGAAAGUCCAAUGCCAUCUGCUAGACCCCUGGCCUUCAAUUGGCAGGUUGCGGCCUGAUCCCAGGUGGGUUGCAGCAGGAGCGUGGCCACUGUGCAGGUAUAAGGCAAAAAGGUUCAGAAAAGGGGUUCCCAAAUGCAUAUUCAGUUUAAAAGCCUCCCUGUCUCUUCAAGUGCACUUGGGCAUCCAGCAGGCAAGUCAAUACUUCUUGUAUCCAAGAACCCUUUCAACACUGGAGUGCGUAAGGCCUGCUUUAAAUGAUUUAUUUAGCCAACAGGGAGAAAGCAUCUUCCUUGUCUGCAGCUGCUGCAACAAGGCCUCUUCUGUGAGUGUGUAAAUCCCGCAGGCCUGCCGCCACCGCAAGGCUUGUUCUUACUUGCAAAAAUAUCUCUGUGUUUUCGUCAACAGCCUGCCAACCGCACAGCUCAGGUGCUCAGCAUCUGAGGCUCUAAGGCCAAGCGCCAUCAACAAGAGGCAAACUGGCAGACGUGCCGUAAGGGGGCAAAUGGCGGGUGGUGCCUCUGGCAACGGGUGCAAGUGACGGAUUUGAGCGCAGUCAGAAAACAAACAAACCUGUGAGGAUGAGCAGGACCGGCAAGCGAGGAUGUGUACACAUUGCUGCACAGGAGGACAAAACAGGAAACAAAGUCCCUUUCUUCUUCUUCACCACGCAAACUGUAUUCCUGACACAGAUUCAACAAGGCCGCCUUCCAAAGUCGGUGUGGACACCAGAGGGAUGCCUGUGAUGCCACUUUCAUUGUUACCGGACAACUCCAGUUCAUUUUGGACGCAGCCAUGUUGCAGGACCCCCUUCCAAUGUCAGAAAGGCUUAGUGGAGCCUCCCUCUUCAAAGGCAGUCUACCUCUAAAUGCCAGGUGCUGAGAGAUCAUAGAAUCCUAGAAUCCUAGAGUUGGAAUAGACCACAAGGGCCAUCGAGUCCAACCCCCUGCCAAGCAGGAAACACCAUCAGAGCACUCCUGACAUAUAGUUGUCAAGCCUCUGCUUAAAGACCUCCAAAGAAGGAGACUCCACCACACUCCUUGGCAGCAAAUUCCACUGUCGAACAGCUCUUACUGUCAGGAAGUUCUUCCUAAUGUUUAGGUGGAAUCUUCUUUCUUGUACGUAGUUUGGAUCCAUUGCUCCUUGUCCGCUUCUCUGGAGCAGCAGAAAACAACCUUUCUCCCUCCUCUAUAUGACAUCCUUUUAUAUAUUUGAACAUGGCUAUCAUAUCACCCCUUAACCUCCUCUUCUCCAGGCUAAACAUGCCCAGCUCCCAUAGCCGUCCCUCAUAAGGCAUCGUUUCCAGGCCUUUGACCAUUUUGGUUGCCCUCCUCUGGACACGUUCCAGUUUGUCAGUGUCCUUCUUGAACUGUGGUGCCCAGAACUGGACACAGUACUCCAGGUGAGGUCUGACCAGAGCAGAAUACAGUGGCACUAUUACUUCCCUUGAUCUAGAUGCUAUACUCCUAUUGAUGCAGCCCAGAAUUGCAUUGGCUUUUUAGCUGCCGCGUCACACUGUUGGCUCAUGUCAAGUUUGUGGUCAACCAAGACUCCUAGAUCCUUUUCACAUGUACUGCUCUCAAGCCAGGUGUCACCCAUCUUGUAUUUGUGCCUCUCAUUUUUUUGCCCAAGUGCAAUACUUUACAUUUCUCCCUGUUAAAGUUCAUCUUGUUUGUUUUGGCCCAGUUCUCUAAUCUGUCAAGGUCGUUUUGAAGUGUGAUCCUGUCCUCUGGGGUGUUAGCCACCCCUCCCAGUGCCUCUGUCCCUGAACCCCUGACAGGUGUCAUCUGCAAAUUUGAUCAGGAUGCCCUUGAGUCCAUCAUCCAAGUCGUUGAUAAAGAUGUUGAAUAAGACCGGGCCCAAGACAGAACCCUGUGGCACCCCACUAGUCACUCUUCUCCAGGAUGAAGAGGAACCAUUGAUGAGCCCCGCUUGGGUUCGGUCAGUCUGCCAGUUACAAAUCCACUGAGUGGUAGCAUAGUCAAGACCGCAUUUUACCAGCUUCUUUACAAGAAUAUCAUGGGGCACCUUGUCGAAUGCCUUGCUGAAAUCAAGGUAGGCUACAUCCACUGCGUUCCCUUCAUCUACCAGGCUUGUAAUUCUGUCAAAAAACGAGAUCAGGUUAGUCUGACAUGACUUUAUUUUUCAGAAAUCCAUGCUGACUAUUGGUGAUCACAGCAUUCCUUUCUAGGUGCUCACAGACUGUUUGCUUAAUGAUCUGCUCCAGAAUCUUCCCUAGUAUUGAUGUCAGACUGACUGGGUGAUAAUUAUUUGGGUCCUCUCUUUCCCCCUUUUUGAAAAUAGGGACAACAUUUGCCCUCCUUCAGUCUGCCGGGACUUCACCUGUUCUCCAGGAAUUCUCAAAGAUGACUGCCAGUGGUUCUGAGAUCACAUCUGCCAGUUCUUUUAAUACUCUUGGAUGCAGUUCGUCUGGCCCUGGAGACUUGAAUACAUCUAAACUAGCCAAGUAUUCUUGUACUAUCUCCUUAGUUAUUCUGGGCUGUGUUUCCUCUGCUGAAUCAUUUGCUCCAAAUUCUUCAGGUCGGGCAUUGUUUUCUUUAUCGGAGAAGACUGAGGCAAAGAAGGCAUUGAGGAGUUCAGCCCUUUCUGUGUCCCCUGUUUGCAUUUCACCAUCUUCACCUCUGAGUGACCCCACUGUUUCUUUGUUCUUCCUUUUGCUACGGACAUACCCAUAAUGAUGGGGAAGGCUGGUUGCCUUUAUGCUCUGCAUUUUGGGGCAGGUUGGUCUGUUAGAAAUAGCAUGCGAUAAUAAGUCAGCCUCUCGCAUCCUGGUGCCCAUCAGACAUUUCAGAUCGCAAUAACACCAUCAGUCCAAACCAGCACAACAGCUGUUGUCCAAAACAUCUAGAACAGCACCAGUUGGAGAAGGAUGCAAUAGAUCAAUUAACUGAACUAUUGGUUGCUAGGGGCCUGAAAGUUCAGGUAAAAGGUAGAGGGACCCCUGACAAUUAAGUCCAGUCGCGGAUGACUCUGGGGUUGUGGCGCUCAUCUUGCUUUAUUGGCCGAGGGAGCCGGCGUACAGCUUCCGGGUCAAGUGGCCAGCAUGACUAAGCCGCUUCUGGCGAACCAGAGCAGUGCACGGAAACGCCGUUUACCUUCCCGCCAGAGCUGUACCUAUUUAUCUACUUGCACUCUGACGUGCUUUGGAACUGCUAGGUUAGCAGGAGCUGGGACCAAGCAACGGGAGCUCACCCCGUUGUGGGGAUUUGAACCACCGACCUUCCGAUCGGCAAGCCCUAGGCUCUGUGGUGUAACCUACAGCGCCACCCACGUCCGCAAGUUCAGGACACCCAUGCUAUUUUAUACCAAAAGCUGCUUUCGUUCUAAGUGCAGAUGGGGCUCGUCAGCCUGGGAAGGUGGCCCAUCAAGGAGAAGGGAAACUCUGCUCCUAACCCUCUGGUGCCUUGCAGGAUAUCUAUGGGAGAAGAGAAGGCUCUGGAGUAAACCCUACACAAAUCUGAAGUUGUCCCUAAGGCGGUUGGAUGGUGCCUUGUAUGCCUCCUUCCGUCAACUCCUGCAGCCAAGCUGGUGCCCAACAUCUUGCUCAGCUUUCCGUUGGACCGCAUCAGAGAGGCUGAGAGGGGGGUCUUAUCAACUGAGCAGCCCCGGACCUCCAUCCACACUGCCCAGGCUUGCGCCCCAGGGAGGUCACUUCAGUGCUGCUAACAGAGCCGUUUGACUUCACCCCCGGAGGCGCACUCCAUUGUCUCUUGAGACAGACAGGUGCCUGCAACAACAACUCUGGUUCUGUG
This 7118-nucleotide long non-coding RNA is filed under the name Podarcis lilfordi (Lilford's wall lizard). The stretch from base 1023 to 1080 matches the Rfam family "tRNA", at positions 8 to 63 of the family's 71-position model. Lineage: Eukaryota; Metazoa; Chordata; Lepidosauria; Squamata; Lacertidae. The record is from RNAcentral.